Molecule: ribosomal RNA, 366 nt
Filed under: Brevibacillus porteri
Lineage: Bacteria; Bacillati; Bacillota; Bacilli; Caryophanales; Paenibacillaceae
Description: bacterial SSU rRNA
Rfam family: Bacterial small subunit ribosomal RNA
Source: RNAcentral
GGGAUGACGUCAAAUCAUCAUGCCCCUUAUGACCUGGGCUGCACACGUGCUACAAUGGUUGGUAGAACGGGAUGCUAUCUCGCGAGAUGACGACAAUCUCUUAAAACCAAUCGCAGUUCGGAUUGUAGGCUGCAACUCGCCUACAUGAAGUCGGAAUCGCUAGUAAUCGCGGAUCAGCAUGCCGCGGUGAAUACGUUCCCGGGCCUUGUACACACCGCCCGUCACACCACGGGAGUUUGCAACACCCGAAGUCGGUGAGGUAACCGCAAGGAGCCAGCCGCCGAAGGUGGGGUAGAUGACUGGGGUGAAGUCGUAACAAGGUAUCCGUACCGGAAGGUGCGGAUGGAUCACCUCCUUUCUAUGGAG